Molecule: ribosomal RNA, 247 nt
Filed under: Auriculariaceae sp. 4 CRJH-2017
Lineage: Eukaryota; Fungi; Basidiomycota; Agaricomycetes; Auriculariales; Auriculariaceae
Description: partial 28S ribosomal RNA
Rfam family: Eukaryotic large subunit ribosomal RNA
Source: RNAcentral
AGAGCUCAAAUUUGUAAUCUGGCGGUCUACGGCCGUCCGAGUUGUAAUCUAGAGAGGUGUUUUCCGUGCCGGACCGCGUACAAGUCCCUUGGAACAGGGCGUCAUAGAGGGUGAGAAUCCCGUUCAUGACGCGGACUUCCGGUGCUCUGCGAUACACCUUCAAAGAGUCGAGUUGUUUGGGAAUGCAGCUCAAAAUGGGUGGUAAAUUCCAUCUAAAGCUAAAUACAGGCGAGAGACCGAUAGCGAA